CGAGCCGUUAGGGCCAAGCUGGAGGGAGGGCGGCGAGGCGCGGCUGCCGAUUGGAGGAAAAAAAAGUGGAAGCCCUGGGACCCACCAUCAUGAACAAUCGGGGAGAAGACAAGAGGCCAGCAAAGGAAUGAACACAGGGACGCAUGAGACAUUUGGUGCCGAAGACCUGGGUCAGCGGGACUCCUUUGGGAGACCAGUCCCCCAUCCUCACCCUCACUCUGUGAAGAGAUCCACCUACGACCUUGGGUCCUCAGACCAACCAGCCUAAGGAACAUCUCACCUAUUUUAAAUCGGACAGGAAUGUCAGGCCUCUGAACCCAAGCUAAGCCAUCAU
This 334-nucleotide long non-coding RNA is filed under the name Homo sapiens (human). RNAcentral's name for it is "HSALNT0311175". Lineage: Eukaryota; Metazoa; Chordata; Mammalia; Primates; Hominidae. The record is from RNAcentral.